GGACUGCCAUCGACAAGAUGGAGGAAGUGGGGAUGACGUCAAGUCAUCAUGGCCCUUAUGUCCAGGGCGACACACGUGCUACGAAUGGACCGGGCACAACGGGAAGCGAGUUCGCGAGGACGAGCGGAUCCCUACAAAGCCGGUCGCAGGUUCGGAUUGAAGUCUGCAACUCGACUUCAUGAAGCUGGAAUCGCUAGUAAUCGUGGAUCAGCCAAGCCGCGGUGAAUACCGGUUCCCGGGCCUU
RNAcentral lists this ribosomal RNA (244 nucleotides) under uncultured Synergistaceae bacterium. RNAcentral's name for it is "partial 16S ribosomal RNA". It matches the Rfam family "Bacterial small subunit ribosomal RNA", at positions 1146 to 1382 of the family's 1533-position model. Lineage: Bacteria; Thermotogati; Synergistota; Synergistia; Synergistales; Synergistaceae. The record is from RNAcentral.